CCUACGGGAGGCAGCAGUGAGGAAUAUUGGUCAAUGGACGAAAGUCUGAACCAGCCAAGUAGCGUGAAGGAUGAAGGCCCUAUGGUUUGUAAACUUCUUUUAUAUGGGAAUAAAGUGUUCCACGUGUGGGCUUUUGUAUGUACCCUAUGAAUAAGGAUCGGCUAACUCCGUGCCAGCAGCCGCGGUAAUACGGAGGAUCCGAGCGUUAUCCAGAUUUAUUGGGUUUAAAGGGAGCGUAGGUGGUUUGUUAAGUCAGUUGUGAAAGUUUGCGGCUCAACCGUAAAAUUGCAGUUGAAACUGGCAGUCUUGAGUACAGUAGAGGUGGGCGGAAUUCGUGGUGUAGCGGUGAAAUGCAUAGAUAUCACGAAGAACUCCGAUUGCGAAGGCAGCUCACUGGACUGUAACUGACACUGAGGCUCGAAAGUGUGGGUAUCAAACAGGAUUAGAUACCCCAGUAGUC
Molecule: ribosomal RNA, 460 nt
Filed under: uncultured bacterium
Lineage: Bacteria
Description: partial 16S ribosomal RNA
Rfam family: Bacterial small subunit ribosomal RNA
Source: RNAcentral